GAUGAACGCUGGCGGCGUGCCUAAUACAUGCCAGUCGAGCGAACAGACGAGGAGCUUGCUCCUCUGACGUUAGCGGCGGACGGGUGAGUAACACGUGGAUAACCUACCUAUAAGACUGGGAUAACUUCGGGAAACCGGAGCUAAUACCGGAUAAUAUAUUGAACCGCAUGGUUCAAUAGUGAAAGACGGUUUUGCUGUCACUUAUAGAUGGAUCCGCGCCGCAUUAGCUAGUUGGUAAGGUAACGGCUUACCAAGGCAACGAUGCGUAGCCGACCUGAGAGGGUGAUCGGCCACACUGGAACUGAGACACGGUCCAGACUCCUACGGGAGGCAGCAGGAGGGAAUCUUCCGCAAUGGGCGAAAGCCUGACGGAGCAACGCCGCGUGAGUGAUGAAGGUCUUCGGAUCGUAAAACUCUGUUAUUAGGGAAGAACAAAUGUGUAAGUAACUAUGCACGUCUGGACGGUACCUAAUCAGAAAGCCACGGCUAACUAAGU
This 496-nucleotide ribosomal RNA is filed under the name uncultured bacterium. Its description in RNAcentral is "partial 16S ribosomal RNA". It matches the Rfam family "Bacterial small subunit ribosomal RNA", at positions 28 to 506 of the family's 1533-position model. The record is from RNAcentral.